Rhincodon typus (whale shark) is the source of this 1074-nucleotide long non-coding RNA. RefSeq lists it as uncharacterized. NCBI's taxonomy places the organism in Eukaryota, Metazoa, Chordata, Chondrichthyes, Orectolobiformes, Rhincodontidae. The record is from RefSeq and is a predicted model, not a curated record. The transcript has 3 exons.
CGUUCCUGUAGAGGAAAAAAAAGUUCAAUUUACAACGUAUUCUGUAUGUUUUUAUUGCACUUCUACAGAUUUUAAAUUUAAAAAAAGGAUGGCCAUUAGUAGUCAUUAAACAACUUUUAGUCCUUACCUUGCAGGAUUGAAGAUGAAACACUAUUAGCCAUUAUUUGAAUAUAAUGCCUCCGAUUUUCCAAAACUUAUUGCUCAGUAGUUCAACAAGUAUUAUAACUGCAGAGUAGAAUUCUUUGCAAUAUAGUAAAUUUAGGUAAUUUUCACUGCACGUACUUGCAGCUGUGGGGGGGUUCAACUAAUCUAUGUUAUGACACUUGUUGCCACAUCCAGCAAUAGCUUUGUUUUAAGUAGAUAACAGACCAAAUAUUAAGGGUCUAUACCAAUAAGGGAAAUAACAAAUGGUUACUUUUAUCAUUUAGAAGUGUCAUCAAAAGGCAAUUAACUGAAAUCUGGCAGACAUUCUGAAUUCAGUUGAUGUCAUCCCAUAAAUUAAUGUACUGAAAGCAGAAGUAUAAUUGUAUAAGAUUAGCUGCACAACAUUUAUCCUUUGCAGAUAGAAGAGGCUCGAGAUAUUUGGAUGAAUUCUUGGAGACAAGUCACUGUGUUUUCAGAAUAUAUUGAAUACAAUGUCAAAUAAUUACAAGAAACUAGAUUAAUCAAAUACCUUAACUGCUUGAUUCUUCAUGUUGACUGGAGGAUUUCUUAAUGCUGCAUGGAACGCACUAAGCAUAUCACCUGUACAGGAUUACUGGUUAAGGAACACCCUCCUCCUAUCCUACUUGGAGACUGGAGUCGAGCAGGGCGAGCAUGGGCCAUGUCCUGCGGCGGGGCAGAGUGAGUGUGGGCCGAGUCCCUCGGCAGCGGCAGAGCAAGUCCCAGAUGGAGGCUGGCACCUGGAGGCAGCAUGGCCUUGUGCUCUGGGGCCAGUGGGCAUGGACUGGAACUUAAGGACAAAGUGAGCAGCAGUAACCCCGUUCGUCCUUCUACCCAUUUCCACACUGAGAUCAGAUAAUAGUGAAGUCUUAAGGUGCUGAUCACAGCGGGGAAAACAUUGGAAGUAAAAAA